GUCCAGGGAUGGGAAUCGAACCCACAAUGUUCCGCUUACCGGGCAGAUGCCAUAUCCACUAGGCUACCCUGGA
RNAcentral lists this transfer RNA (73 nucleotides) under Cordylochernes scorpioides. RNAcentral's name for it is "tRNA-Thr". The record is from RNAcentral. Lineage: Eukaryota; Metazoa; Arthropoda; Arachnida; Pseudoscorpiones; Chernetidae.